This 546-nucleotide ribosomal RNA is filed under the name Aschersonia andropogonis. RNAcentral's name for it is "SSU rRNA". It matches the Rfam family "Bacterial small subunit ribosomal RNA", at positions 233 to 789 of the family's 1533-position model. Lineage: Eukaryota; Fungi; Ascomycota; Sordariomycetes; Hypocreales; Clavicipitaceae. The record is from RNAcentral.
UCUUCGAGAUAGGUAGUAGUUAAGGUGAUGGCUUAACUAGCCAAAAACUCUCGUAGUCGAAGCUGAAAGGUUGAUCGACCACAUUGGGUCUGAAAAAACCCCAAUGCAAGUUAGUACAGCAGUGAGGAAUCUUGGUCAAUGGCCUAACGGCUGAACUGGCAACUUGGAGAAGUGGCAAGUCUUAUUUUGAUUAUAUUACAAUAUAUAAUCUAUAAGAUUGUAUUAAAAUUGAAUAAAGCUUUGUUUAUAUAUUGAUAAUGACAGUAUAUAUAUCGUGUCUUGACUAAUUACGUGCCAGCAGUCGCGGUAAUACGUAAGAGACUAGUGUUAUUCAUCUUGAUUAGGUUUAAAGGGUACCUAGACGGUCAAUAUAUCUUCUAAAAUGUUAGUACUUGACUAGAGUUUGAUAUAAGAGGGCAGUACUUGAGGAGGAGAGAUGAAAUUCUAUUAUACCAAAGGGACUCGGUAAAGGCGAAGGCAGCCCUCUAUGUAAAAACUGACGUUGAAGGACGAAGGCACAGAGCACAAACAGGAUUAGAUACCCAA